RNAcentral lists this ribosomal RNA (777 nucleotides) under uncultured Neocallimastigales. RNAcentral's name for it is "partial large subunit ribosomal RNA". It matches the Rfam family "Eukaryotic large subunit ribosomal RNA", at positions 23 to 647 of the family's 3401-position model. Lineage: Eukaryota; Fungi; Neocallimastigomycota; Neocallimastigomycetes; Neocallimastigales. The record is from RNAcentral.
AGACUCUGUGCGCGUGCAUAUCAAUAAGCGGAGGAAAAGAAACUAACAAGGAUUCCCUUAGUAACGGCGAGUGAAGCGGGAAGAGCUCAAAUUUGAAAUCUUCAAGGUUCUACCUUGACGAAUUGUAGUUUAUAGAAGUGUUUUUCUGUUAGUGGAGUGGCAAAAGUUCUUUGGAAUAGGACAUCAUAGAGGGUGAGAAUCCCGUAUUUGGUCAUUCCUCCUAGCGUUGUGAUACACUUUCAACGAGUCGGAUUGUUUGGGAAUGCAGUCCAAAAUGGGUGGUAAAUUUCAUCUAAAGCUAAAUAUUGGCGAGAGACCGAUAGCGAACAAGUACCGUGAGGGAAAGAUGAAAAGAACUUUGAAAAGAGAGUUAAACAGUACGUGAAAUUGUCAAAAGGGAAGCGUUUGACACCAGUGUUGUUUUUUCCGAAAAUCAAUUACGAAUGUUUUGUUUUUGAGGAGUUAUGACUUCAUCGGCUUGCUCCUUUCUUUAUGAAACUUUCUUAAUGCACUUUUCGGUUAACAAGUCAACAUCAAUUUCUUUUGUUGUAAAAGGGUAUGAGGAAGGUGGCUUUCUUUUCGGAGAAAGUGUUUAUAGCCUUGUGCCUCUGCAAUCGGAGAGAUUGAGGUCUGCAGCGUAGAUCCUUCGGGGUUAGAUACGUUUGUGCUAAGUUAUAGCUUUUCAUAGACAACUUGUUGAAACUAUGUUUAGUCUUGUAGCUUACUCGCUGACGCUAUUUUACCUACGCUUAGGAUGUUGAUCUGUAGUGCGUGCGC